GCGUUAUUCGGAUUCACUGGGCGUAAAGGGUGCGCAGGCGGCCGUGUGUGUGGGGUGUGAAAGCCCGGGGCUUAACCCCGGAAUUGCACCUCAAACUACAUGGCUAGAGCAUUGGAGAGGGUAGCGGAAUUCACGGUGUAGCAGUGAAAUGCGUAGAUAUCGUGAGGAACACCAGAGGCGAAGGCGGCUACCUGGACAAUUGCUGACGCUCAGGCACGAAAGCGUG
Molecule: ribosomal RNA, 226 nt
Filed under: uncultured bacterium
Lineage: Bacteria
Description: partial 16S ribosomal RNA
Rfam family: Bacterial small subunit ribosomal RNA
Source: RNAcentral